This 493-nucleotide ribosomal RNA is filed under the name uncultured bacterium. RNAcentral describes it as "partial 16S ribosomal RNA". It matches the Rfam family "Bacterial small subunit ribosomal RNA", at positions 28 to 507 of the family's 1533-position model. The record is from RNAcentral.
GACGAGCGCUGGCGGCGUGCUUAACACAUGCAAGUCGAACGGUGAAGGGACCGGUUUUUGCUGGUUCUGGAUGAGUGGCGAACGGGUGAGUAACACGUGAGUAACCUGCCCCCUUCUUCUGGAUAACCGCAUGAAAGUGUGGCUAAUACGGGAUAUUCUGCGCCUGCUGCAUGGUGGGUGUGGGAAAGAUAUUGUUUCGGUGGGGGAUGGGCUCGCGGCCUAUCAGCUUGUUGGUGGGGUGAUGGCCUACCAAGGCGGUGACGGGUAGCCGGCCUGAGAGGGUGGACGGUCACACUGGGACUGAGACACGGCCCAGACUCCUACGGGAGGCAGCAGUGGGGAAUAUUGCACAAUGGGCGCAAGCCUGAUGCAGCGACGCCGCGGGAGGGAUGGAGGCCUUCGGGUUGUAAACCUCUUUCGCCAGUGAAGCAGGCCUGUCCCUUUUGUGGGUGGGUUGACGGUAGCUGGAUAAGAAGCGCCGGCUAACUACGUG